UUUUAGCCCCGAUAGAAGCGGUAUCCUUUUUUAACACCGGCAGGUUUAAAAAAGAUUAAGCGGAUAGCGGGAAUAGCU
Molecule: small RNA, 78 nt
Filed under: Flavobacterium croceum DSM 17960
Lineage: Bacteria; Pseudomonadati; Bacteroidota; Flavobacteriia; Flavobacteriales; Flavobacteriaceae
Description: Flavo-1 RNA
Rfam family: Flavo-1 RNA
Source: Rfam by way of RNAcentral